GACGAACGCUGGCGGCGUGCUUAACACAUGCAAGUCGAACGGAAAGGCCCUGCUUUUGUGGGGUGCUCGAGUGGCGAACGGGUGAGUAACACGUGAGUAACCUGCCCUUGACUUUGGGAUAACUUCAGGAAACUGGGGCUAAUACCGGAUAGGAGCUCCUGUUGCAUGGUGGGGGUUGGAAAGUUUCGGCGGUUGGGGAUGGACUCGCGGCUUAUCAGCUUGUUGGUGGGGUAGUGGCUUACCAAGGCUUUGACGGGUAGCCGGCCUGAGAGGGUGACCGGCCACAUUGGGACUGAGAUACGGCCCAGACUCCUACGGGAGGCAGCAGUGGGGAAUAUUGCACAAUGGGCGGAAGCCUGAUGCAGCAACGCCGCGUGCGGGAUGACGGCCUUCGGGUUGUAAACCGCUUUCGCCUGCGACGAAGCGUGAGUGACGGUAAUGGGUAAAGAAGCACCGGCUAACUACGUG
Molecule: ribosomal RNA, 468 nt
Filed under: uncultured bacterium
Lineage: Bacteria
Description: partial 16S ribosomal RNA
Rfam family: Bacterial small subunit ribosomal RNA
Source: RNAcentral